GGAUGUGAGGGUGAUCUGGCUGCGACAUUUGUCACCCCAUUAAUUGCCAGGGUUGAUUUGGCUGAUCUGGCUGGCUAGGCGGGUGUCCCCUUCCUCUCUCACCACUCCAUGUGUGUUUCUCCUGAAGCUGUGCGCUCAGUGGAAGAUGGCAACCAUCCCAGAUAGAAGGAGUGUACCAUUCUUCGGUCAAGGAUAUAUGACAGCUGCGCUCCCCUGCUAGAACCUCCAAACCUGAGUCAGUUUUUCAGACAAGCUAUGUGGCAAAUGGGCCUGUAUCAGUGCUCAAGGGUAAUGUCUGACGGCAUCUUCCAUCCUUCCACAAUAGUCAUACAGGUUGCCACAAGGAGACUACCACUUUAU
This is a non-coding RNA of Podarcis lilfordi (Lilford's wall lizard), 360 nucleotides long. The record is from the annotation of a GenBank genome assembly. Lineage: Eukaryota; Metazoa; Chordata; Lepidosauria; Squamata; Lacertidae.